GACGAACGCUGGCGGCGUGCCUAACACAUGCAAGUCGAACGGAAAGGCCCUGCUUGGUUUCUUUGCUCGGGAGUCGAUCGGGUGUGUAACCCGUGGGUAACCUACCCUGGGCUUAGGGAUCCCUUCAGAGAAGUAUGACUUUCACAGAAGAGGACUAACUCCUCCUGAGAUGUGGGUGCAACGUGUCGUUGGUUGGGAAGGGAUUCGCGGUUUAUCAUCUUGUUGGUUGGGUAGUGGAUUUCCAAGAGUUUGCCGGUUAGCCGGCCUGAGAGGGUGACCGGCCACAUUGGGACUGAGAGACGGCCCAGACUCCUACGGGCGGCAGCAGGGGGGAAUAGUGCACAAGGGGCGGAAGCCUGACGCAGCAAGGCAGCGUGCGGGAUGACGGCCUUCGGGUUGUAAACCGCUUUCGCCUGUGACGAAGCGUGAGUGACGGUAAUGGGUAAAGAAGCACCGGCUAACUACGUG
This 468-nucleotide ribosomal RNA is filed under the name uncultured bacterium. RNAcentral describes it as "partial 16S ribosomal RNA". It matches the Rfam family "Bacterial small subunit ribosomal RNA", at positions 28 to 507 of the family's 1533-position model. The record is from RNAcentral.